GUGAAUCAUCGAAUUUUUGAACGCAAAUUGCGCUUCCUAGCAUCCCGGGAGGUAUGCCUGUUUGAGGGUCAGUAUUAACAAAAAAAUCGGUUUGGUUGCGAAUGGUGACGUUGCCGGAGUUUGGGCUAUCUUAACUUAUUUGGUGAAGGGGCGUAAAAUUGACCUUUUUUGCGCAUUUUUAGACGUACAUAAAUGUUUGUUUUAUCGGUCAAUUGUUAAUGUGAAAAUCUA
Molecule: unclassified non-coding RNA, 231 nt
Filed under: Rhizophagus sp. (in: glomeromycetes)
Lineage: Eukaryota; Fungi; Glomeromycota; Glomeromycetes; Glomerales; Glomeraceae
Description: partial contains 5.8S ribosomal RNA and internal transcribed spacer 2
Rfam family: 5.8S ribosomal RNA (bases 1-71)
Source: RNAcentral